Molecule: unclassified non-coding RNA, 355 nt
Filed under: Leishmania donovani
Lineage: Eukaryota; Euglenozoa; Kinetoplastea; Trypanosomatida; Trypanosomatidae
Description: gene:unknown
Source: RNAcentral
CUGCCGCCAGCAGGCUGAGGCGGAGGAGGCUGCCCGCCAGCAGGCCGAGGCGGAGGAGGCUGCCCGCCAGCAGGCUGAGGCGGAGGAGGCUGCCGCAGCAGGCGAGGGGGGGCGCGAGGCGAUGAGGAGGCUGCCCGCCAGCAGGCCGAGGCGGAGGAGGCUGCCCGCCAGCAGGCCGAGGCGGAGGAGGCUGCCCGCCAGCAGGCCGAGGCUGAGGAGGCUGCCCGCCAGCAGGCCGAGGCGGAGGAGGCUGCCCGCCAGCAGGCCGAGGCGUGAGGAGGCUGCCCGCCAGCAGGCCGAGGCGGAGGAGGCUGCCCGCCAGCAGGCCGAGGCUGAGGAGGCUGCCCGCCAGCAG